AUAGUAUGACUACGUUGGGCCAACAUUGGUAAAUGGUUGUAUGGUGGGCGUGGGGUAGACAACGUUGGGCCAACAUUGGGCCAAUGUUACCAUGCCAAUCGUCUCAACCAUGUUGGGAUUUCUAUGUUGGCCCAACGCUGGUCCAACUUAAACUAACUUUAUUUUCCGAGAAUGUUGGGAUUCUGAAGUUGGUCCAAUGUUGAAAUGCAUCUUUAACAAAGAUGUUUAAUUAAGUUUGUAAUAGUACGUUGACCCAGCGUUGGCCCGGUGUUGGCAUGAAUUCUUUUAUAUAUUAAGUGUUUCAAGUUGGGGUGAUUACAUUAGCCCAAUGUUGGCCCAAUAACUGUACUGCGAACUAAAUGCAAGAUGGGGAGCAUUACGUUGGGCCAACGUUGGUUCCACGUUUGUAAACUUUUUAUCUUGAUGUUGUGAUUACAUAACGUUAAAGAAUGCUGCAUUGAAGAGGCAGAUUCUGAUAUAGUUAGAAGACAUUCUUUGUUCAUGCAUGCAAUUGGAUGACUACAUCCAUUUAUAUUUGUUUUUAAGAACUUAAGAAUGUGACCAACACAUUGAAUAGUUGUUGUUUUUUUCUAUUCGUUGAAGCGGGUGCAUGAUUAUUUAUUUAGAUUUGAAAUCCUAAGCUCAAAAUUCUAACCCAAUCUAUGAAUGAAUGACUUAAAUUGUUUCAUGAGUGUUGCAUUAGAAAACUGAAUAAAAAUUUUCUUAUAACAAUAUAAGUUCCCUGGGACAGGAUGUGAAUAAAUAUAUAAAUCAAGACACUCCAACCAGUUUUAUAAUUACAUUGAAACGAAGCUCAGGCGAGUUGUUAAAACUGGGGAGUCGCAGCGAUUAAAACACCAAACUGUGGGAUGAGCCGUCAAAUUCAAUUACACACAGGUGGUUGAUAAACUCAAUAUGCAGAGCAAGUGAGAAGUGGGAGUUUAAUUUUUUGGAUUAAUCAACUUUUACAUGCAGCUGCUUCUUUAAAAAGAUCUUGGAAAACUUGUAUGCAUUGGAGGCGACAGUGUUCAAACGUGUUCAGGGAUACUGUCCUUUUUGAUGGCGACAACCUUAGCAUUGCAAUUAAAUUGGAGUGGGAAAGGAACAAAAAGAGGACUGUCAAAUUUAGAAUUAAGAGACAUAAUAAAGGCUGUCAGGAUAAAAAAAAUCUGAAAGAGCGGCAAAAGUAACAAAAGGACAGUGAGGAAGUGAGCCAGGAUUAAAAACUUCAUUUUCCAGAAAUGUCUACCAUCAUCUAUUUCAAACCUAUUUUGUAACUUUUGACAAUUUAAUUCAUAUAAAAAAUCAUUUUACAGAGAA
Long non-coding RNA from Ostrea edulis (European flat oyster), 1320 nucleotides. RefSeq lists it as uncharacterized. The record is from RefSeq and is a predicted model, not a curated record. The transcript has 3 exons. NCBI's taxonomy places the organism in Eukaryota, Metazoa, Mollusca, Bivalvia, Ostreida, Ostreidae.